CUGGCGGCGUGCCUAACACAUGCAAGUCGAGCGAGGAGAUUCCUUCGGGAUGAUCCUAGCGGCGGACGGGUGAGUAACACGUGGGCAACCUGCCUCAUAGAGAGGAAUAGCCUUCCGAAAGGGAGAUUAAUACCUCAUAACAUUGCAGUUUCGCAUGGAACAGCAAUUAAAGGAGCAAUCCGCUAUGAGAUGGGCCCGCGGCGCAUUAGCUAGUUGGUGAGGUAACGGCUCACCAAGGCGACGACGCGUAGCCGACCUGAGAGGGUGAUCGGCCACAUUGGGACUGAGACACGGCCCAGACUCCUACGGGAGGCAGCAGUGGGGAAUAUUGCACAAUGGGGGAAACCCUGAUGCAAGCAACGCCGCGUGAGUGAUGACGGCCUUCGGGUUGUAAAGCUCUGUCUUCAGGGACGAUAAUGACGGUACCUGAGGAGGAAGCCACGGCUAACUACGUGCCAGCCGCUGC
Molecule: ribosomal RNA, 466 nt
Filed under: uncultured bacterium
Lineage: Bacteria
Description: bacterial SSU rRNA
Rfam family: Bacterial small subunit ribosomal RNA
Source: RNAcentral